AGGAAUAUUGGGCAAUGCCCGCAAGGGUGACCCAGCAACGCCGCGUGGAGGAUGAAUGUCGUAAGAUUGUAAACUCCUGUUAGAGGGGAAGAAUAGUACCGGUUGGACCGGUAUAUGACUGUACCCUCAGAGAAAGCCCCGGCUAACUACGUGCCAGCAGCCGCGGUAAUACGUAGGGUGCGAGCGUUAAUCGGAAUUACCGGGCGUAAAGCGUGCGCAGGCGGUUUUGUAAGACAGAGGUGAAAUCCCCGGGCUCAACCUGGGAACUGCCUUUGUGACUGCAAGGCUGGAGUGCGGCAGAGGGGGAUGGAAUUCCGCGUGUAGCAGUGAAAUGCGUAGAUAUGCGGAGGAACACCGAUGGCGAAGGCAAUCCCCUGGGCCUGCACUGACGCUCAUGCACGAAAGCGUGGGGAGCAAACA
RNAcentral lists this ribosomal RNA (420 nucleotides) under uncultured bacterium. RNAcentral's name for it is "bacterial SSU rRNA". It matches the Rfam family "Bacterial small subunit ribosomal RNA", at positions 357 to 774 of the family's 1533-position model. The record is from RNAcentral.